GCUGCUCACGGUCUGCCUCUUUCGGUAAUGUGGGCGGAGUUUAAGUCACUGUGCUGUCCAAAACAAGAAGCGUGUAUCGACCCAAGGACGGAUUACUUACUGCCACCCGGUGUAGAGAGUCGAUCGGCUGAGAUGAUAUCAUAGCGUUAAAGACAUUAAAGAGUUGCACCACAAGAAGGACAUGGACCCUUCUGAAGAGUCCAUAAGAAUGACCUCUGAUCCCCAGAGCAAAGCAGCUGUGCAGGGUCCUAACCCACACAUGCAUUUAGAGAAAACCCCGUCUGCGCAGUCAGGCAAUGGUGGGGCGCUGGUGUUGUGUUCUGUAUCCGUGGCCUGCCUGAGCGGGUUGAUGAUGGGAUACGAGAUGAGUCUGAUAUCGGGAACUUUGCUUCAACUCAGGGAAGUUUUGAAUCUAUCCUGCCCCCAGCAGGAGCAGAUCGUCGGUUCUCUGCUGCUCGGUGCCUUCCUUCUGUCUCUGGGUGGCGGCAUCAUCCUGGACCGCUACGGACGUCGCUUCUCCCUCAUCUUCACGGCGCUGCUGUGUGUGUUUGGCACCUUUUUGAGUGUGUGUGUGGUAUCUUUCUGGGCAUUAGUGACUGGGCGAAUGUUGGUAGGCAUGGCAGUGGCGCUGUCAGGCACCGCUUCAUGCCUGUACGCGGCAGAAGUAGCGCCCGCCACCUGGCGUGGAAGGUGCGUGUGUGUGUAUGAGCUGAUGGUUGUUUUAGGGAUGCUGUUGGGCUUUGGAAUGAGCUGGGCGUUCGCGGGGGUUCCAGACGGAUGGAGAUUUACCUUCAGUGGCGUUCUUCUCCCCGCUCUGCUCCAAGCCGCAGUCAUGCCUCUGUUGCCGAGGAGUCCGCGGUUUCUGCUCGCUCAACGGCGUGAAAAAGACGCUCAUGCAACUCUUCUCCGUCUUCGGGCAGGCAUCAAAGGAAUGGACGCGGUGGAUGAGGAGCUUCGGGCCAUUCGUGUGGCCCUGGGGGAAGAACGGUUGCACGGCUUUCUGGACCUCUUCCGUUCCCGUGACAACAUGUCACACAGACUCCUCAUCGGUGCUGCUCUGGUGUUCUUGCAGCAGGCUACCGGACAACCCAACAUUUUGGCGUACGCGUCGACUGUUCUCAGCAGUGUGGGUUUCCAUGGUAACGAGGCAGCGACUCUCGCUUCCACAGGGUUUGGUGUUGUUAAGGUGGGAGGGACCAUUCCUGCUGUGUUCCUGGUGGAUAAAGUGGGACCCAAAGCCCUCUUGUGCGUCGGAGCCGUUAUCAUGACGUUGUCGACGGCAACGCUAGGGGCCGUAACCAUGCAAAGCCAAACUCAGGUUUCUAGCUUAUGCAAAGGCCCUGCUAAUAAUGCAAAUCUGACUGUUUUAAGAAUGGGAGACCAGACUGAUAUACUGCAUGGUUCAUACUAUCAAACCAAUCAUAAAACCAAUUCUGUGUUCAAUAGAGUUAAUGCCACUACGAAUAAUUGGAUUUUAAACCACACUUAUGAUCAUAGGACAGCAUUUCUUAAGACUGCAGAAGCAGGUGAGAGUUUGGAAGAGGACAGAUCGAAAAUUCCUCUUCAGUCCGUUUCUAUAAAUGAGGUAUCGCCUUCUCUCAAAUGGAUCUCUCUGGUCAGCCUGCUGGUUUAUGUAGCUGGAUUCUCCAUCAGCUUGGGACCAAUGGUACAUGUGGUUUUAAGUGCGAUCUUCCCAACUGGCAUCCGUGGAAAGGCCGUGUCCGUCAUCUCUGCCUUCAACUGGGCCACCAAUUUGCUCAUAUCAAUGACCUUCCUGACCCUGACAGAGCGGAUCGGCCUGCCCAACGUGAUCUUCUCCUAUUCUGCCAUGAGUUUCGUGUUGGUGGUGUUUGUGAUUGCAUUUGUGCCAGAGACGAAAGGACGAUCGCUGGAACAGAUCUCCAAAGAGCUUGCCAUGAAGAAUCCCAUGAGCAGCACACUGCUGUGUCACAGAGGACGACCGGAUCCUAGAAAGGAUGAAAAAGCCCAAACAUUUGACAUUUCACCUAGUUGAAGAAUAAAGCAGCAAGAGGAAAUUACAAGCAAGAGACUGUAUGUGAUACAGUCUGAAAACCUAAUGGACAGCUUAACUAGAUGUCAUGACUCUACUGAUCAAGAUUAUCCAAAGCAACUUAUAAUGCAUUUAAGUGUCAAGGAAGAUGAGCUGAAACUGUGACUGUGGUUUUCAGGAACACUGAGGCUAUUUUAAACCCUUCAUGUAAUGCUGCACUAGGACAGGAUGAUUAAUCUUAUAUCCCUCUUUCGUUUUUUUUAACCAGCCCACCCACAAGGGAAGGAGACACAGAAACACUCAGAUAGUCAUAGAUUUUCUAAUUAGUAUAAAAUGUUAAACUUUAUAACAGCUUGAUUUGCCAAAUCUGACUUGCAAGGAAUGAGAUCUUCCCAUUUGUCUGCCAGGUUAAGAACUAGAGCAAUGUUGAAACAUCAUUUGAUAUACAGAGGUAUAAAGACAGACAAGAGAUGCUGUUUUUAGACACCAAAAGUCUUUUGUGUCAGAGGCCAGAUCUCUUAUCACCAUAUAUACAUAUUUUUUGGAAAUGUAUUAACUUGUAAUAAAUUGAUUAUUGUUCAUUUUCUCAUUUACAAACAAUAUGUGCAUCACCAUAACUAAAAGCAUCACUGGAUGAUGGGCACAAACUGCAAUGCUGAGGAGAGACCAGAUACCCCCGUGUGUGUCGUAGCAAUCAUCGCCUGAUUUAAAACCACUCCUGAGUCGCAUUUAACGCCGCCACUUAGUACCUCGGCAGAUCGGGAUGUUUUGGCUUGAAUUAGGAGGUUGUAUUAGAGACCGGUGUGGGGUGCCAUUAAAAUAGCAAAACAUGGGGUUUGGGGACGCGGAGUAUCCAUUUCACGUGCCCCUUCGGAGGCGCCACUGGGCCAUUUGAGAAGCUUCUCGUGGGAUCCUAUUAGAGGGCAUCGGUGCUGAAAGCUUCACGGGCUCUCCCAUGAGCAAUGCGCGAUUGCGUGUAGGGUCAUCACUGUACCAUCUGAAAAAUCCCACUGUACAAGUGCGCGCGCGCGACUGUUAUUUCCGGUUCAAGACCCAUCAUUAUAAUCUCGAUCUUGCCACCUGUUAGUUCAAAGGGAACGUGCAGGUGUUCUGGCACUUGGUGUGGAAAACACAAACGUUUACUUUGCCUGUUAAUGUAAGCUAGCAAAUAAUUAUAAUGUUAUAACUUCCAUCUGAUAUUAGUUUAUACAAUACGAACAUAAUAUCAGAUGUAAAAUUAAUAAAAUU
Non-coding RNA from Misgurnus anguillicaudatus (oriental weatherfish), 3259 nucleotides. The record is from RefSeq and is a predicted model, not a curated record. Lineage: Eukaryota; Metazoa; Chordata; Actinopteri; Cypriniformes; Cobitidae.